GUGGGGAAUAUUGCGCAAUGGGGGAAACCCUGACGCAGCAAUACCGCGUGAGUGAAGAAGGUUUUCGGAUCGUAAAACUCUUUUAUUGGGGAAGAAGAAGUGACGGUACCCAAUGAAGAAGUCCCGGCUAACUACGUGCCAGCAGCCGCGGUAAUACGUAGGGGACAAGCGUUGUCCGGACUCACUGGGCGUAAAGGGCGCGUAGGCGGUUUUAUAAUUCAGAUGUGAAAGGUACCGGCUCAACCGGUGACGUGCAUUUGAAACUGUAAGACUUGAGUACUGGAGAGGCAAGUGGAAUUCCUAGUGGAGCGGUGAAAUGCGUAGAUAUUAGGGGGAACACCGGUGGCGAAGGCGGCUUGCUGGACAGAUACUGACGCUGAGGUGCGAAAGCGUGGGGAGCGAACAGGAUUAGAAACCCCGGUAGUCC
RNAcentral lists this ribosomal RNA (427 nucleotides) under uncultured bacterium. RNAcentral's name for it is "partial 16S ribosomal RNA". It matches the Rfam family "Bacterial small subunit ribosomal RNA", at positions 354 to 796 of the family's 1533-position model. The record is from RNAcentral.